Molecule: long non-coding RNA, 1265 nt
Filed under: Aotus nancymaae (Ma's night monkey)
Lineage: Eukaryota; Metazoa; Chordata; Mammalia; Primates; Aotidae
Description: lncRNA (ENSANAG00000038540.1)
Source: RNAcentral
AUUUAUAAUUUUAUGAAUCUGUGGCAUUGCAUGCAGAUAGGAAUGCCCUUCCAAAGGCAGAAAUUAACACAGAAGUAAAGGAAAAUGGCUGGUGAAGAUUUUUAAAAAAAAGGAAAGAAAAAGGAAGGAGAAAAAGAUGAAGCAAUGAAACAGAAAAAUGAAAAGAGAAAAUGUGCAAAGGAAAAGGUGGAAAGAAAACAGGAAAUAGAAAAAUGAAGUGCAACCUUUGUUAUAUGCUAAGCUAGCCCCUUGCAUCAGUACUGGAAUGCGAAGUACGUGGAGGUUUAGUUCUCCAUUUAACUUUCUGUUUGAAUAGCCAUGCCACGCUGUCCUGUCUGCAAGAAACCUUCUUCAGUUACUAAAUUGUGGUUUUGUGAGUGCUCAUCUCUUCUCCUUUUGGAUAACAGGAAAGGAGCUGAGGGAUGCUAGUCACGCUUUUAGUCUACUGCUUUGAAAAUGUUCACCUCAUGCAAGCUAACUGCAUGAAAGGUGGCUACAAUGAAAACUGUUCACAUUUUAUGUGAUAAAGGCCAUAUCCAGUAACAUAGCCUACUGCGUCGUAUUUACUGACAAACCCAGCAUGACAAGAGAAACAUGGGACCUACUCUUCAUUUGCAUUGAUUCCAGCCAAGAGCUUCAGUUUUCAUGCCUUGCUUCAGAAUUAUUGGGUGAAGAAGAGUGCUUACCAGAUUCCCUUCUGGUUUGGAGAAAGAGUUUCUCUUGUGGAUGUCAUCUCUAUCAUCCCUUAGUGAAAAAAUUUUCAAGAGAAUCCUAAGGUGAAGAGAGCCUUGGAAGUCAUCUGGCCCAAUUUCCUCAUACAAUUCAAAGCUUCUUUGUAAGGUAGGGUGCCAUUUACUUUUAUAAGGCCAACUUUGGGGAGUUUACUACUUUGUAAAGCCACUUAUCGAAUAUUUACAGCUACAAUUCUGAAGAAAUACUUGAUACAACUCUUUGAAUGACCAGUUUUGCCCAGUAAAGCCUUAAAAUUAUUUUUUAGUUACCUCAUGUAUUAAAUUGUUCCUUUGUUUGUUCACUCAAAAAUAUUAAUUAAGCCAGGCUUCCUUAUUUAGCUUUGAAAUUGCAGUCCUCGAUGGUUGUGAAUGCAUGCUUGUUUCUACAAACCCCAUUGCUUCUAGUUCAUAUGAAAUUUGCAGGUAAUUAAAACUCUUUAUUCUCUAAGAACUGUUGCAUAGUCAGAUCUGUACUAUUUAACCUGCAGUUAAACUUUUCCCUUAAAGUGAAGCAUUGAAUUGUUCAGUUUUGAC